RNAcentral lists this ribosomal RNA (478 nucleotides) under uncultured bacterium. RNAcentral describes it as "partial 16S ribosomal RNA". It matches the Rfam family "Bacterial small subunit ribosomal RNA", at positions 28 to 507 of the family's 1533-position model. The record is from RNAcentral.
GAUGAACGCUGGCGGCGUGCUUAACACAUGCAAGUCGAACGAGAAAUGGAGACGGAAACCUUCGGGCGGAAGGCUUCAUUUCGAGUGGCGGACGGGUGAGUAACGCGUGGGUAUCCUGCCUCAUACAGGGGGAUAACAGUUGGAAACGACUGUUAAUACCGCAUAAGACCACAGCACCGCAUGGUGCGGGGGUAAAAACUCCGGUGGCAUGAGAUGGACCCGCGUUCGAUUAGCCAGUUGGCGGGGUAACGGCCCACCAAAGCGACGAUCGAUAGCCGAUCUGAGAGGAGGACCGGCCACAUUGGGACUGAGACACGGCCCAAACUCCGACGGGAGGCAGCAGUAGAGAAUAUUGCACAAUGGGGGAAACCCUGAUGCAGCGACGCCGCGUGAGUGAAGAAGUACUUCGGUAUGUAAAGCUCUAUCAGCAGGGAAGAAAAUGACGGUACCUGAGUAAGAAGCCCCGGCUAACUACGUG